CAGUAGCCGCGGUAAUACAGAGGGUGCGAGCGUUAAUCGGAUUUACUGGGCGUAAAGCGUGCGUAGGCGGCUUCUUAAGUCGGAUGUGAAAUCCCUGAGCUUAACUUAGGAAUUGCAUUCGAUACUGGGAAGCUAGAGUAUGGGAGAGGAUGGUAGAAUUCCAGGUGUAGCGGUGAAAUGCGUAGAGAUCUGAAGGAAUACCGAUGGCGAAGGCAGCCAUCUGGCCUAAUACUGACGCUGAGGUACGAAAGCAUGGGGAGCAAACAGGAUUAGAUACCCCUGUAGUCCCUGUCUCUUAUAC
Molecule: ribosomal RNA, 301 nt
Filed under: uncultured bacterium
Lineage: Bacteria
Description: partial 16S ribosomal RNA
Rfam family: Bacterial small subunit ribosomal RNA
Source: RNAcentral